Molecule: ribosomal RNA, 496 nt
Filed under: uncultured bacterium
Lineage: Bacteria
Description: partial 16S ribosomal RNA
Rfam family: Bacterial small subunit ribosomal RNA
Source: RNAcentral
AUGAACGCUGGCGGCGUGCCUAAUACAUGCCAGUCGCGCGAACAGACGAGGAGCUUGCUCCUCUGACGUUAGCGGCGGCCGGGUGAGUAACCCGUGGAUAACCUACCUAUAAGACUGGGAUAACUUCGGGAAACCGGAGCUAAUACCGGAUAAUCUAUUGAACCGCUUGGUUCAAUAGUGAAAGACGGUUUUGCUGUCACUUAUAGAUGGAUCCGCGCCGCAUUAGCUAGUUGGUAAGGUACCGGCUUACCAAGGCAACGAUGCGUAGCCGACCUGAGAGGGUGAUCGGCCACACUAGAACUGGGCCACGCUCCAGACUCCUACGGGAGGCAGCAGUAGGGAAUCUUCCGCAAUGGGCGAAAGCCUGACGGAGCAACGCCGCGUGAGUGAUGAAGGUCUUCGGAUCGUAAAACUCUGUUAUUAGGGAAGAACAAAUGUGUAAGUAACUAUGCACGUCUUGACGGUACCUAAUCAGAAAGCCACGGCUAACUACGUG